Molecule: long non-coding RNA, 92 nt
Organism: Rhodamnia argentea
Lineage: Eukaryota; Viridiplantae; Streptophyta; Magnoliopsida; Myrtales; Myrtaceae
Exons: 3
Source: RefSeq, a predicted model, not a curated record
GUCUUGAGGAUGCAGGGACAAAGUGGCAUCUCGAGGGCGCGGGGAUAGCGGCAUCCAGCAAGAGAGGUCGAUGGGAAGAGAGUUGUGAAAGA